This 406-nucleotide ribosomal RNA is filed under the name uncultured bacterium. RNAcentral's name for it is "partial 16S ribosomal RNA". It matches the Rfam family "Bacterial small subunit ribosomal RNA", at positions 30 to 526 of the family's 1533-position model. The record is from RNAcentral.
AUUGAACGCUGGCGGCAGGCCUAACACAUGCAAGUCGAGCGAGCGGCGGACGGGUGAGUAUUGUCUGGGAAACUGCCUGAGGGAGGGGGAUAACUACUGGAAACGGUGGCUAAUACCCCAUACCAUCAGAGGUGCCCCGAUGGGAUUGGCGAGUGGGUGUGGUAACGGCUCACCUAGGCGACGAUCCCUCGCUGGUCUGAGAGGAUGACCAGCCACACUGGAACUGAGACACGGUCCAGACUCCUACGGGAGGCAGCAGUGGGGAAUAUUGCACAAUGGGCGCAAGCCUGAUGCAGCCAUGCCGCGUGUGUGAAGAAGGCCUUAGGGUUGUAAAGCACUUUCAGCGGGGAGGCGUUACCCGCAGAAGAAGCACCGGCUAACUCCGUGCCAGCAGCCGCGGUAAUUC